GAACAGGUCUGGCCGGUCUCUUCAGGAUCCGCUGGUUGACGUCGCUUAGCGUCGUCAUGCGGCCAUCGUCUAACCCCAGCGGCUUGACGACUGCAAAAGGGUACAGCACUCCGACGCCUCUCUUCUCCUCCCCUGAAAGGAACUGUAAGCUGAAGUGAAUGCCAAACUGUAAAAUCUACUGCAGAUUAGCUGAAAGCCUGCCCAUAAGCAACUAGUUUGGCCGGAUGCCAAUACGUUCAAAAAAUCGCAAUCUUUGCUGCGGCUGCAACUGCUGCUCUGUAGCCUGUACUCGGCGCACCAGUGCCUGUCAGUGUCUCAGCAGCGCACACAUGCGCGGGCGAAGUAAAUGGCUGCCCACCGGUCAGCUACCCAACCCAACCCACCUGCCAGCAGCGAGGGACAAGCAGAGGCGGGCGCCGUCGUGGCGGCCGCGCCCGCGCCCGCACGGGAGGGCUCGCAGCAGCCGACGCCGGGCAGCGGCCGCGAGCGAUCGUCGCGACGCGCUGCCGCGCGGUGGGGCGCCCCCGUCCCCGCCCCUGCAGUCGCGUUUUGCAGCCGCGGCUGCAGGGGAGCAACGCCCCGCACGGUGGCGGGGAAGCGAGGACGAGGAGGAGGGGGGACUACCGCGGCCGCCUCCUCUCCUCCGCGCCGCGCCGCUGGCGCUGGCGCUGGCAGCACCUGCGUGCUCGGGGCCCUCUGCUCCUCCUCCCUGCCCGACGCACCUGCCCCGUCGUCCCCUGCACGUCCGAGCUUUAAACUGGAGGGUGAUGUGGCGAUGUGCACGUAUUGAAAAGGGCGUGUUGAAUCACCUGAGACAAAACUGCAGCAUAUCUCCGCCUCCGGGAUCGUGGUAUUCAAAUCCUGCCGGAGAUCUCCGUCGCCGCCUCCUCCCUCGGCGCUAGAAUCCCAGAAGCUCUGCAGGCCGAGAACAACCGGACAAGCGACAACGCUACAAGUUAGAAAAGAGGAACAUGACAAGGGCGCCACUGCGACGAGACAUGGCUGCGCCAACUCUUUUGUACGUAUGUUUAUCGCUCGGCACGACGGCGAAGCUACAGCCUUUCCGCUUCGUUUGGUGAAUCGAUAUCGACACUGUGACUAGAGUACUAGAAGAUGGUCAUGGACUUGCAUUGCAUUUGCAUUGAGGCUAGUAUUGGGAACAAAACAGCCUACACUCAAUGCUUCUCUAUGAGUUGCCAAUGUUUCAUCCAUUGAGAUUUGAGUGCUCAAGUAAUCACUAA
Panicum hallii is the source of this 1241-nucleotide long non-coding RNA. RefSeq lists it as uncharacterized. Lineage: Eukaryota; Viridiplantae; Streptophyta; Magnoliopsida; Poales; Poaceae. The transcript has 3 exons. The record is from RefSeq and is a predicted model, not a curated record.